Molecule: ribosomal RNA, 571 nt
Filed under: uncultured Actinomycetes bacterium
Lineage: Bacteria; Bacillati; Actinomycetota; Actinomycetes
Description: bacterial SSU rRNA
Rfam family: Bacterial small subunit ribosomal RNA
Source: RNAcentral
CCGGGAAACCGGUGCUAAUACCGGAUAUCCCCAUCGAGUCGCAUGGCUCAAUGAGGAAAUGGAUUCCGCUUCGGGAGGGGCUCGCGGCCUAUCAGCUAGUUGGUGGGGUAACGGCUCACCAAGGCUUCGACGGGUAGCUGGUCUGAGAGGACGAUCAGCCACACUGGGACUGAGACACGGCCCAGACUCCUACGGGAGGCAGCAGUGGGGAAUCCUGCACAAUGGGCGAAAGCCUGAUGCAGCAACGCCGCGUGAGGGACGAAGGCUUUCUGAGUUGUAAACCUCUUUCAGCAGGGACGAUUAUGACGGUACCUGCAGAAGAAGCCCCGGCCAACUACGUGCCAGCAGCCGCGGUAAUACGUAGGGGGCAAGCGUUGUCCGGAUUUAUUGGGCGUAAAGCGCUCGUAGGCGGCUUGGCAAGUCGAAUGUGAAACCUCCAGGCUCAACCUGGAGAUGCCAUUUGAUACUGCUAUGGCUAGAGUUUGGUAGGGGACCACGGAAUUCCUGGUGUAGCGGUGAAAUGCGCAGAUAUCAGGAGGAACACCAGCGGCGAAGGCGGUGGUCUGGGCCA